This 123-nucleotide ribosomal RNA is filed under the name Yarrowia lipolytica. Lineage: Eukaryota; Fungi; Ascomycota; Dipodascomycetes; Dipodascales. The record is from RNAcentral.
GGUUGCGGCCAUAUCCUGGUGAAAAUACGGCUUCCCGUCCGAUCAGCCAUAAGUCAAGCCACCAGAGAGCCUAGUUAUAUUGUGUAGUGGGGAGACCAUACGAGAAUCCUGGGUGCUGCAAUC